Molecule: transfer RNA, 73 nt
Filed under: Felis catus (domestic cat)
Lineage: Eukaryota; Metazoa; Chordata; Mammalia; Carnivora; Felidae
Rfam family: tRNA
About the family: Transfer RNA (tRNA) molecules are approximately 80 nucleotides in length. Their secondary structure includes four short double-helical elements and three loops (D, anti-codon, and T loops).
Source: Rfam by way of RNAcentral
ACCUGGCUGGCUCAGUCGGAAGAGCAUGGGACUCCUGAUCUUGGGGUUGUGAGUUCAAGUCCCACACUGGGUG